UGUAGAUAUAUAGGUGUAUAUAUAUUACCGUUUUUUUUGCAUAAGAAACAUGAAUGUAGUUAAUUUUUACUGUAUUCUAUGUAUUUAUAGAAAAAAAAACAAUCACAUAAUUAUGCGUUAAUAUAUAAAAUAUGAUUUGUCUGUUAUGAAAAUAUAUAAGUAAUAUGCACAUGAAUAUGUAUGUAUGUAUAUAUAUGAACAUUUAAAACCAAACGGGUUAAAAACAAAACAAAACAAAAAAAAAUCAUAAUAAUAAAUAUAGUAACAAUGGUAGUAAUGAUAAUUAUAAAACAUUCGAAAUAACAAAAAUUAAAUUUUUUUUUUUUUUUUUUUUUUUUUUUUUUUUUUUUUUUUUUUUUUUUAUAUAACUCAUUUUUGUUGGAUCCAUUCUUUAUCAUAUGUAUAUAUUUAUUUUCAGAAACUUUACUCUUUUUUUCUUCUUCAUUAGGUGUCAUUUUUUUUAGUGUGUUUAACUUAUCAUGUUCGUCCUGUCCAUUUUUUUCGUCUUGCCGAUUUUUUUCGUCUUGCCAU
Molecule: long non-coding RNA, 531 nt
Filed under: Piliocolobus tephrosceles (Ugandan red Colobus)
Lineage: Eukaryota; Metazoa; Chordata; Mammalia; Primates; Cercopithecidae
Description: lncRNA (ENSPTEG00000002745.1)
Source: RNAcentral